CGUGUAGGUGGAUAUUUAAGUCAGAUGUGAAAACUCCGGGCUCAACUUGGAGAUUGCAUUUGAAACUGGGUAUCUUGAGGGUAGGAGAGGAAAGUGGAAUUCCUAGUGUAGCGGUGAAAUGCGUAGAUAUUAGGAGGAACACCAGUGGCGAAGGCGACUUUCUGGACUAUACCUGACACUGAGACGCGAAAGCGUGGGGAGCGAACG
This 207-nucleotide ribosomal RNA is filed under the name uncultured bacterium. RNAcentral's name for it is "partial 16S ribosomal RNA". It matches the Rfam family "Bacterial small subunit ribosomal RNA", at positions 568 to 774 of the family's 1533-position model. The record is from RNAcentral.